Molecule: long non-coding RNA, 1691 nt
Organism: Cyprinus carpio carpio
Lineage: Eukaryota; Metazoa; Chordata; Actinopteri; Cypriniformes; Cyprinidae
Source: Ensembl
UGCACAGUGUAUUUAGGUCAGCAUGUAAAGAGUUAAGAGUUCGUGUCUGGUUAUUUACACAAGUGAAUAGAACAACAAUCAUCUAACAAGCCAAUUUUCAGGACAAUUUUCCCACUGGACCACAACAAAACUAGACUCUAGGUGAACACGUAGUGUUUCUGCAGUGAGUGCACAUGACUGCGCAGAAGUUUGAUGAUGGAAAACCAUCAGCCCAUUGCUCAAGGCGACCCGUCACUCCACAGACCAGCGCCAAAUCAAACAGUCCCAGGUCAAAGGUCAAACCCUCGGCCGCUGGGACAUCCCAUGCGCUUCAGCACAGCAUAAUGAGCUCGUAAGACAGAGUUUGAUAUAAUCAGGGGAAAAGAGCGAAUCCCAGCCCAGAGUCGAGUUAUGUCCUCGAAUGGACACCUGUGAGAUCUGCUGCUCCAAAACACACACAUUCAGUCGCCCGCGCCGCUUUACUGCCAAGACACACAGUUUUAGCAACAUGGAGGUCUGGAGGUUUGUCCCCCGAGGGCUGGAGGGAUACGUGACUGAGCGCAUGCAGCAGCGGCGAUGGGCGUCACUGAGAACCUUAGCAUUGAGCAACUUCAAGUGGACAAUAGUUCCUCUGUGGAGGACGAGCAUUUGCUAAACGUUCAGAAAUAUCAUCAAUUUGAUGGCACUGUCGCUUAAAGAGACUGCGUUAUCAGUCUCAACUCAUGCCAUUCAUGUUAAACUGAAGUAAUAUUGUUUGUGUGCAAUGCUUAAACAUUUAAAUGUUACUUUUGAAUGGUCUCGGAAUGUUCUGAAACAAGUAAUGACAUUUAAAAAUGUUGGAAAUUUACUUUUAAAAGUGAUGCAUGUCACCUGGGCUGGGAUUGUUUGUUUAUUUUUAACAACAACAAACCCUAAAGUUCUAUUUCUGGUAACUGUGAUGAAGGCCCUUUCACACCAAAAGUGAAAUGAAUACUCCUCCGCCUCUGCACUUACUCACAGUUUCUCUCAACACUGAGACAGGAGAGCUGUCAGUCAAUAAAUGGGAAAAGAAAGUCAUGUGCAUUACAUAUUUGAAAAAAAUAUAUUUUCUUGGAAAUGUAAAAGUAGUGUUACUUUACAAGUUAGUAAUCUGAUUGCGUAACUUAUAAUGCAUUACAACACAACAUUGGUGCUAGAACAUUAUUAAAGCACAGAAAACUUUGCACAAAUGUUCUAUUAAUGUUCCUAACUUUGACAGAACAUUGCUAGAAUGUUAGCCAAAGUUCUGAGAACAUUCUCUGUUAAUACUAACUAUUCAUGUUAAAGCAGUAUUGUUUGUAUGGAAUACAUAAUAGGGCUUGAUUAUACAUAAUUUAAGCUACCAGCUGAACUCAAAUAAGCUGAUAAAGUUUGACAGACUUCUAUUUUCAACUUUAUAUGAAGAGCUUGGCGAUGAUAUUACACUGUGCAAAAUAGGCAGUUAAGAUUUACUAUAUAGUUAUAUAGUAUAUAAUUUCACACGGGUAUACAGCAUGUGCAUGGAUAAAGUUGUAGAUAAUUUCACGGUAAACAAAAAUAUAUUCUAAGAAUGUUUUGGUAACAUUAAGUUAUAAAAAUGUUAUUUCUAAAUGUUCUCUGAGCAACGCCCAUGUUUAAUUUUUUAGAAAGGUUUAUCUUGGUUACACAAACACUGAUGGAACAUUAAAUGUUCCUUGAAUGAUGCAUAAAUAAAA